CAUUUUGCAUAAAAUAAUAACUGGAAAACUCCAAAGUGCAACAUUACAUCUUUUUGUCUUUAAAUAGCCUACAACUAUGUAAAAGACAUGUGAUCGCUUCUCCUUUAUUUUUUUUCUUCCACAGGGCAGGGGAAGGCAGUAAUGUGAAAAGAAGUGAAAUGAAAAUGUUUUAUGACUCCUGGGACGCUUGUGCGUGCAGGAAGUCGUCGGCAUGAGGUUGGGCUACAGAGCCUGAGACCCAUUUAUUUGGUCUAUACAACGUUCCUCUUCACUGAAUCAUCCCCAGUGCUAAACAUUCGAGCCGUCCAUAAAACGGUGAAUGAUACAGAAUGAUACAAUGGAGUGCUGGAGAGAGGAAACAGGAAAGUUGCAGGGCCUAUUGAUCAUCAUAGAGUAAGAAAGAGGCAUGCUAUAAGUCUAGAAACGUGUGAGGUGAAGACUGGAGAUGAUGUUCUUGAAACAUGGAAGAAACUCACACCUGAGUGUUAUCCACUUGAUUACAACACCUGACUCAUUGGCUGAAAAGGUUUUCACAUCCAACACCAAUGUCUCGGAGCUCCGCCCCUUCUCCACUACAACAUGAGAUGAAAACCGGUCUAAACUAGAUCGGCAGCCAGGGCUGUUUUCUGAGUAAACCAGUCCCAGAGAAACCUGGUCCAGUCUGCUUGACCCUACAGUUAUUUUUGUUUGUAGCUUCUCUGGAUAUUUUCUAACAUAUCAUUCAUUCAGUUUAUCCCGGUCAGGGUCACGGUGGAUGCUGUAACAUGGGAUAAUGAGGCAAGACUCUAGUAUGGAUGCUCGGUGUGAGCUUUAAUAAGGGAUAUCCGGGAACCAGGGUGUACAAAGGGGCUCGGAGUGCAUCGGUACAUCUGAGGAGUAAAUCAAAUAAACAGGCAAAAGUAAGAAAAGCUCGAAUAGAGGAAAACAAGGCUGGGAAAAGACUUUUGAAAGAGACAUGAAGGAGACAAGCAGCAGUCACCACUCUGAGAACCACAAUGGAGAAAUUCUUCUGUUUUGAAAAAUGUAUUAAAAUAAAUCUAUUUAUGUAGUCCACAUCCUAUACGCUUCCAUGUUAAUCACCACAGUCUUCCUUUGUUCAACAUGCACCAUAUCUGCUUCCACAUAAACGAAAGUAAACACACCGACCCUACAUUUUAUCAGGUGCCAUGGAUCCCAGUCACUGCUGCACACAUGCAGUCUAAAUCUCAUUAAGAUACAGGACUAUCUUGCAAAGAAAAGACAAUCCAGGACAAAACCUAGCAAGAUAGGACAAGGUGGGGUAAGAUUAGACAGGGUAGGAUGAGACCGGACAGGACAAUGCAGGACGUGCCAAACAGGAAGGGAUGGCACAUGACAGGACAAGACUAGAAAGGAUUGAAU
This is a long non-coding RNA of Hemibagrus wyckioides, 1380 nucleotides long. RefSeq lists it as uncharacterized. Lineage: Eukaryota; Metazoa; Chordata; Actinopteri; Siluriformes; Bagridae. The transcript is spliced from 3 exons. The record is from RefSeq and is a predicted model, not a curated record.